RNAcentral lists this ribosomal RNA (528 nucleotides) under uncultured bacterium. RNAcentral's name for it is "bacterial SSU rRNA". It matches the Rfam family "Bacterial small subunit ribosomal RNA", at positions 8 to 526 of the family's 1533-position model. The record is from RNAcentral.
AGAGUUUGAUCCUGGCUCAGGAUGAACGCUAGCGGCAGGCCUAACACAUGCAAGUCGAGGGGCAGCAUAAAUAAAGCUUGCUUUAUUGGUGGCGACCGGCGCACGGGUGAGUAACGCGUAUGCAACCUACCUUGUACUGGGGGAUAGCCCGAAGAAAUUCGGAUUAAUACCCCAUAGUAUUAUCGAAUGGCAUUAUUUGAUGAUUAAAGCUGAGGCGGUAUAAGAUGGGCAUGCGUCCUAUUAGCUAGAUGGUGAGGUAACGGCUCACCAUGGCUACGAUAGGUAGGGGGCCUGAGAGGGUGGUCCCCCACACUGGUACUGAGACACGGACCAGACUCCUACGGGAGGCAGCAGUGAGGAAUAUUGGUCAAUGGUCGCAAGACUGAACCAGCCAUGCCGCGUGAAGGAUGAAGGUUCUAUGGAUUGUGAACUUCUUUUAUUUGGGAAUAAACCUCUUUACGUGUAGAGAGCUGAAGGUACCAAAUGAAUAAGCACCGGCUAACUCCGUGCCAGCAGCCGCGGUAAUAC